CUCUCUCUCUCUCUCUCUAUGUGUGUGUGUGUGUGUGUGUGUGUGUGUGUGUGUGUGUGUGUGAGUGUGCGAUUCUGAUCGCGAUUUAUAGUGUUGCAAUUGGCUCGCAUUUUAACCUAUGGGUUUUCUGAGGUUCUUUAUGCUUAAAUGGAUGUAGAAUGCCGUAUGAUCCGCGAAGGAUCCGAGUUUUGUGUGAGUUUGCGGUUCGAUCUGUUUGUUUUGGAAAUUUGUAAAUAUUUUGAUUAGAUCUGCGUAGAAUUUGACAUUUCGUGUUUGUUUCGCGUUUUUUACAUCGUGGAAAUAGCAAAUCAUAGUUUCGUUCACGAUCAAGAUCAUAAUGUUAGACGUGUGGGACUGGAUUUAAUUAAUAUUGUUUUAAAAUUGUAUCAUGUUGUGUUCUGAGCUUCUCUGAUACUGCAGUUUGCAAUUAUUUCGAUUUAUGAGUACUGAACCGUAAAAAAAAUAAUAUAUGGGUGGUGACCUAUUGCGGGUGAAAAAUAAUUAGUUACGAUGAAACGAAACGAGAUUGCAAAUGUGUUAGGAUUGUGCUUGGGUGUUUUUUCACAAAGAGUGAAACCAAGAUACAGGUGGUUCUAAAUGCUUAGGUCAUGUAUAUUUGUAAUGGAUACGUACUGAAGUUUAUUGCUUGUGGGUGUGUGGCUUGUGCACUAAUCUUGUGCUUGUGCUUUUGAAUGAAUAGAAUUUGCAGCCUUUCUUUAGAAUCGAAUUGCAUCUCGAGUAAUCCCAAAGUUAGGUAAAGGAUAGAAAAGAAUAGCAUUUCAUUUAUAAGUAAUAGUUCUUUAUUGAUAAGCGCGAAAAAAAGAAGAAGAAGAGUAAUUGAACCGUUGAAUCUUGUGUUUCUCAUUUUAUGACAUAUUAGGGCAAUAACACCCGUUGAACCAGCCUAU
This is a long non-coding RNA of Juglans microcarpa x Juglans regia, 908 nucleotides long. RefSeq lists it as uncharacterized. NCBI's taxonomy places the organism in Eukaryota, Viridiplantae, Streptophyta, Magnoliopsida, Fagales, Juglandaceae. The record is from RefSeq and is a predicted model, not a curated record. The transcript has 2 exons.